UACGUAGGGGGCUAGCGUUGUCCGGAAUCAUUGGGCGUAAAGAGCGUGUAGGCGGUCCGGUAAGUCCGCUGUGAAAGUCGGCGGCUCAACCCUCGAAUGCCGGUGGAUACUGUCGGGCUAGAGUGCGGAAGAGGCGAGUGGAAUUCCUGGUGUAGCGGUGAAAUGCGCAGAUAUCAGGAGGAACACCUAUUGCGAAGGCAGCUCGCUGGGACGUAACUGACGCUGAGACGCGAAAGCGUGGGGAGCAAACAGG
RNAcentral lists this ribosomal RNA (253 nucleotides) under uncultured bacterium. Its description in RNAcentral is "partial 16S ribosomal RNA". It matches the Rfam family "Bacterial small subunit ribosomal RNA", at positions 524 to 776 of the family's 1533-position model. The record is from RNAcentral.